This 543-nucleotide long non-coding RNA is filed under the name Monodelphis domestica (gray short-tailed opossum). RNAcentral's name for it is "lncRNA (ENSMODG00000045472.1)". The record is from RNAcentral. Lineage: Eukaryota; Metazoa; Chordata; Mammalia; Didelphimorphia; Didelphidae.
AGACUGUCUGGGUCCCCUAGGAUGUCGUAGCUACCCCUCAGGAGCCAGCCCAGCACCGUGUCUGUAGCAAGUGAACUCUGGGGAGGAAGAGGAGAGACCCUCACCCAGCUGUGAAGGAGCUAAACUCCUGCUCUUACUGUUCUCCAGCCUUCCCGGGAAAUGCCUCUGACUGUGUUCAUGCUUUCAGAGGAUUCCCUGACUAGCAUCGUAGCAGCACCACUCCGCUCUCACCCAUGCUUGUGGUUUCUUACUUUCCUAGCCCCAGACUUCACUAUGUCUGCCCCUAUCUCAGGGACCAUAUCAUUCACAUACUCCAUCCAGUGCCCACUUCUGGGUGUAUAUACCAGCAUGUUACUCGAGCUUCAGCUUCCAGCUUACCCCACCCCUGGGGCCAGCCUGACACAUUGUCCCUGCCCCAUACUGUAUUCUCUACCCAGUGGUCUGGGCUUAGCUCUUCCUGACUGUGCCUUAUUUAUAAACAGAAAAGCAGUUUUCUUGAGCAUCCCUGAAGACACCCAACCUACUCUUGAGGCAUUACUGUGA